Molecule: ribosomal RNA, 397 nt
Filed under: uncultured bacterium
Lineage: Bacteria
Description: partial 16S ribosomal RNA
Rfam family: Bacterial small subunit ribosomal RNA
Source: RNAcentral
AUACGUAGGUGACAAGCGUUAUCCGGAUUUACUGGGCGUAAAGGGCGUGUAGGCGGUCUUGCAAGUCAGAAGUGAAAUUCCUGAGCUCAACUCGGGCGCUGCUUCUGAAACUGCAGGACUUGAGUGCUGGAGGGGAUAGCGGAAUUCCUAGUGGAGCGGUAAAAUGCGCAGAUAUUAGGAAGAACACCGGAGGCGAAGGCGGCUAUCUGGACAGUAACUGACGCUGAGGCGCGAAAGCGUGGGGAGCAAACAGGAUUAGAUACCCUGGUAGCCCACGCCGUAAACGAUGAAUACUAGGUGUAGGGGGUAUCGACUCCCUCUGUGCCGCAGUUAACACAAUAAGUAUUCCGCCUGGGGAGUACGGCCGCAAGGUUGAAACUCAAAUGAAUUGACGGGG